CCAGGGGGCCGGGCAGCCGCGUCGAAGCUUCGCUUCGCCGAGGAAAGUCCGGGCUCCACGAAACAAGGGUGGCGGGUAACGCCCGCCGGGUGUUCGGCUUGCCGGGCAUUCAGGGAAAGUGCCACAGAGAGCAUACCGCUAACCGGGAAACCGGCAGUAAGGGUGAAAGGGUGCGGUAAGAGCGCACCGCGCGACUGGCGACAGGAGCGGCAUGGCAAACCCCACCCGGAGCAAGGCCGAAUAGGGGCGGCGCGCCAAGGAUCGCAAGAUCCGGAAGCAGGGGUGUUUCGCCUUUGAUCGCCCGGGUUGGCUGCUUGAGCCUUGCGGCAACGCAAGGCCUAGAGGAAUGGCUGCCAUUGCGGAUACGGUCUCUCGUGGGAUACCGUCCGUGAUACAGAACCCGGCUUACAGGCCCCCUGGCAAA
This 424-nucleotide RNase P RNA is filed under the name Caenibius tardaugens NBRC 16725. Its description in RNAcentral is "Novosphingobium tardaugens NBRC 16725 Bacterial RNase P class A". It matches the Rfam family "Bacterial RNase P class A". From Rfam's summary of the family: Ribonuclease P (RNase P) is a ubiquitous endoribonuclease, found in archaea, bacteria and eukarya as well as chloroplasts and mitochondria. Its best characterised activity is the generation of mature 5'-ends of tRNAs by cleaving the 5'-leader elements of precursor-tRNAs. Lineage: Bacteria; Pseudomonadati; Pseudomonadota; Alphaproteobacteria; Sphingomonadales; Erythrobacteraceae. The record is from Rfam by way of RNAcentral.